This 21-nucleotide non-coding RNA is filed under the name Caenorhabditis elegans. The record is from RNAcentral. Lineage: Eukaryota; Metazoa; Nematoda; Chromadorea; Rhabditida; Rhabditidae.
UUAAAUAUAUUUUUUAAAUCG